AGUUUGAAAAGCUUCAUCAAGUAUGUCAAAGUUGAAGUGUCUGCAAAUUGAAGAAGUUUUCGAAGCCUUUUGAGAGUGUUAAAUUGAUUUGAAUCCAUUUGAGAGUAUUUGAAAGUGUUCUGAUAAAUUUUGGACCUUAAAUACAUAAAAAAUUAGAUUGGCAUAAAAUGAGACGAUCCAUCUAGGUCAUCUCCUUUCAUUGGGUAGCCGGUACGUAUUGUUUUGACUUAUGACACACAGUGGGACGACCCAUAUGGGAUGAUCCAUGC
RNAcentral lists this long non-coding RNA (269 nucleotides) under Elaeis guineensis (African oil palm). Its description in RNAcentral is "long non-coding RNA (EGUI_LNC017587)". The record is from RNAcentral. Lineage: Eukaryota; Viridiplantae; Streptophyta; Magnoliopsida; Arecales; Arecaceae.